CCUACGGGGGACAGCAGUGGGGAAUAUUGGGCAAUGGGCGCAAGCCUGAUGCAGCAACGCCGCGUGAAGGAAGAAGGCUUUCGGGUUGUAAACUUCUUUUCUCAGGGACGAAGAAAGUGACGGUACCUGAGGAAUAAGCCACGGCUAACUACGUGCCAGCAGCCGCGGUAAUCCGUAGGUGGCAAGCGUUAUCCGGAUUUACUGGGGGCAAAGGUCGUGGAGGCGGGACUGCAAGUCAGAUGUGAAAACCACGGGCUCAACCGGUGGCCUGCAUUUGAUACUGUUGUUCGUGAGUACUGGAGAGGCAGACGGAAUUCCUAGUGUAGCGGUGAAAUGCGUAGAUAUUAGGAGGAACACCAGUGGCGAAGGCGGUCUGCUGGACAGCAACUGACGCUGAGGCGCGAAAGCGUGGGGAGCAAACAGGAUUAGAUACCCCUGUAGUC
RNAcentral lists this ribosomal RNA (443 nucleotides) under uncultured bacterium. RNAcentral's name for it is "partial 16S ribosomal RNA". It matches the Rfam family "Bacterial small subunit ribosomal RNA", at positions 338 to 795 of the family's 1533-position model. The record is from RNAcentral.